GAUGAACGCUGGCGGCGUGCCUAAUACAUGCAAGUCGAGCGAACAGACGAGGAGCUUGCUCCUCUGACGUUAGCGGCGGACGGGUGAGUAACACGUGGAUAACCUACCUAUAAGACUGGGAUAACUUCGGGAAACCGGAGCUAAUACCGGAUAAUAUAUUGAACCGCAUGGUUCAAUAGUGAAAGACGGUUUUGCUGUCACUUAUAGAUGGAUCCGCGCCGCAUUAGCUAGUUGGUAAGGUAACGGCUUACCAAGGCAACGAUGCGUAGCCGACCUGAGAGGGUGAUCGGCCACACUGGAACUGAGACACGGUCCAGACUCCUACGGGAGGCAGCAGUAGGGAAUCUUCCGCAAUGGGCGAAAGCCUGACGGAGCAACGCCGCGUGAGUGAUGAAGGUCUGCGGAUCGUAAAACGCUGUUAUUAGGGAAGAACAAAUGUGUAAGUAACGAUGCACGUCUUGACGGUACCUAAUCAGAAAGCCACGGCGAACUACGU
RNAcentral lists this ribosomal RNA (496 nucleotides) under uncultured bacterium. RNAcentral describes it as "partial 16S ribosomal RNA". It matches the Rfam family "Bacterial small subunit ribosomal RNA", at positions 28 to 506 of the family's 1533-position model. The record is from RNAcentral.